Molecule: ribosomal RNA, 253 nt
Filed under: uncultured bacterium
Lineage: Bacteria
Description: partial 16S ribosomal RNA
Rfam family: Bacterial small subunit ribosomal RNA
Source: RNAcentral
UACGUAGGGUGCGAGCGUUAAUCGGAAUUACUGGGCGUAAAGCGUGCGCAGGCGGCUUUGCAAGACAGAUGUGAAAUCCCCGGGCUCAACCUGGGAACUGCAUUUGUGACUGUAUAGCUAGAGUACGGUAGAGGGGGAUGGAAUACCGCGUGUAGCAGUGAAAUGCGUAGAUAUGCGGAGGAACACCGAUGGCGAAGGCAAUCCCCUGGACCUGUACUGACGCUCAUGCACGAAAGCGUGGGGAGCAAACAGG